RNAcentral lists this ribosomal RNA (461 nucleotides) under Streptococcus mitis. RNAcentral's name for it is "bacterial SSU rRNA". It matches the Rfam family "Bacterial small subunit ribosomal RNA", at positions 38 to 483 of the family's 1533-position model. Lineage: Bacteria; Bacillati; Bacillota; Bacilli; Lactobacillales; Streptococcaceae. The record is from RNAcentral.
GGCGGCGUGCCUAAUACAUGCGAGUAGAACGCUGAAGGAGGAGCUUGCUUCUCCGGAUGAGUUGCGAACGGGUGAGUAACGCGUAGGUAACCUGCCUGGUAGCGGGGGGUAACUAUUGGAAACGAUAGCUAAUACCGCAUAAGAGUAGAUGUUGCAUGACAUUUGCUUAAAAGGUGCAAUUGCAUCACUACCAGAUGGACCUGCGUUGUAUUAGCUAGUUGGUGGGGUAACGGCUCACCAAGGCGACGAUACAUAGCCGACCUGAGAGGGUGAUCGGCCACACUGGGACUGAGACACGGCCCAGACUCCUACGGGAGGCAGCAGUAGGGAAUCUUCGGCAAUGGACGGAAGUCUGACCGAGCAACGCCGCGUGAGUGAAGAAGGUUUUCGGAUCGUAAAGCUCUGUUGUAAGAGAAGAACGAGUGUGAGAGUGGAAAGUUCAACACUGUGACGGAUCUACC